GCCCGGGCUNACCUGGAACUGCAUUCCAACUGAUGAACUAGAGUACGAUAGAGGGGGUAGAAUUCAGAGUGUAGCGGUGAAAUGCGUAGAUAUUCUGAGGAAUACCGGUGGCGAAGGCGGCCCCCNGGAUUGAUACUGACACUGAGGUGCGAAAGCGUGGUAGCGAACAGGAUUAGAUACCCUGGUAGUCCACGCCGUAAACGAUGACAACUAGCUGUUGGGAGACUAUGUCUUUCAGUGGCGCAGCUAACGCUUUAAGUUGUCCGCCUGGGGAGUACGGCCGCAAGGCUAAAACUCAAAUGAAUUGACGGGGACCCGCACAAGUAGUGGAGCAUGUGGUUUAAUUCGNAGAUACGCGCAGAACCUUACCAACACUUGACAUNUUCGUCGCGACUUUAAGAGAUUAAAGUNUUCGGUUCGGCCGGACGAAACACAGGUGCUGCAUGGCNGUCGUCAGCUCGUGUCGUGAGAUGUUGGGUUAAGUCCCGCAACGAGCGCAACCCUCACUUUUAGUUGCCAUCAUUAAGUUGGGCACUCUGAAAGAACUGCCAGUGAUAAGCUGGAGGAAGGUGGGGACGACGUCACGUCAUCAUGGCCCUUACGCAUAGGGCUACACACNUGCUACAAUGGAGAAUACAGACGGACGCUAAGCCGCGAGGUGGUGCCAAUCCUAGAAAAUUCUUCGUAGUCCGGAUUGGAGUCUGCAACUCGACUCCAUGAAGUCGGAAUCGCUNGUAAUCGCGAAUCAGCAUGUCGCGGUGAAUACGUUCUCGGGUCUUGUACACACCGCCCGUCAUACCA
Molecule: ribosomal RNA, 801 nt
Filed under: uncultured Oceanospirillales bacterium
Lineage: Bacteria; Pseudomonadati; Pseudomonadota; Gammaproteobacteria; Oceanospirillales
Description: SSU rRNA
Rfam family: Bacterial small subunit ribosomal RNA
Source: RNAcentral